Molecule: ribosomal RNA, 428 nt
Filed under: Verrucomicrobiota bacterium
Lineage: Bacteria; Pseudomonadati; Verrucomicrobiota
Description: Verrucomicrobia bacterium partial 16S ribosomal RNA
Rfam family: Bacterial small subunit ribosomal RNA
Source: RNAcentral
UAGGGAAUCUUCCGCAAUGGACGAAAGUCUGACGGAGCAACGCCGCGUGAGUGAAGAAGGAUUUCGGUUCGUAAAACUCUGUUGUUAGGGAAGAAAAAAUGUAUAGUAACUAUAUACAAAAGAGACGGUACCUAACCAGAAAGCCACGGCUAACUACGUGCCAGCAGCCGCGGUAAUACGUAGGUGGCAAGCGUUGUCCGGAAUUAUUGGGCGUAAAGCGCGCGCAGGUGGUUUAGAAAGUCUGAUGUGAAAGCCCACGGCUCAACCGUGGAGGGUCAUUGGAAACUAAUAACCUUGAGUGCAGGAGAGAAAAGUGGAAUUCCUAGUGUAGCGGUGAAAUGCGUGAGAUUAGGAGGAACACCGGUGGCGAAAGCGGCUUUUUGGCCUGCAACUGACACUGAGGCGCGAAAGCGUGGGGAGCAAACAGG